Molecule: long non-coding RNA, 1546 nt
Filed under: Amazona collaria (yellow-billed parrot)
Lineage: Eukaryota; Metazoa; Chordata; Aves; Psittaciformes; Psittacidae
Description: lncRNA (ENSACOG00000001995.1)
Source: RNAcentral
UAACAAUCUGAUGAAACCAUGUAUUUAAAUUGCUUUUCAAAUGGCUGAGCUAGCAAAAUACUGUUCUUCUGCUUUGCAGGGGGAAUUACCCAAGAAAACCAUAUGAAGUGGGGCAACCAUGCAGUGGAUGCAGCAGUGAUAAGUGCAUAGACAAGCUCUGUGAUUAUGCCUACUGGCAUCCGGACUGGGAUACAGAGCCCCAGCCACCGCGGCUCCGGCCCCCCAGGCCUCCAACACCACCCCACAUCCCACCUGCUGAGCAGCGGCAUCCCUCUUGUGACCAAUACUGUCUUAGUGUUUCAAUUUUAAGACCACUGUUUUUGAUACUGAGUACUGGUGCUGUUCUUUUAGUACAAAAGUGGUUUCCACAUACUUUUUUAAUGAGUAAUGAUCAAUUAAGAUACUGAUAGUGAUCUUACUGCUUUAUAUUACUCUCAGAGAAUUGCACACAUUUAAGAAAACACUUGGUCAUCUCUCCAUUAUCCCAGUGACGUUUAUCCACCAUAGAAAAGGCUUCUUCUCCACUUAAGGAAAGAUAAAAGUGGCAGUUCAUAGAGUUAGCAUAAUUUAUUGGCAGUAGCUGCACACGCUUCUAUGUCUGUACAAGUCACUGUGUCUGUACAAGCCACAGGAUCUGGUUCAGGAGUAGAUUGAUAGAGGGACCACAUAGACUAUAUAUUACUAUACAUGCUAACAAGCCUCCUGGAAACCUGGGGCAUCACAAAGACAUGUCUGAAGUGGCACACUGUAUCAAAAAGAAGCAAUAACUCAUCUCCAUUAACCUUAAAUUAUCCUAGACAUUGUUUUCCCCAGAUAAUAGAGAUCUAAUUUUACGUAUUACUUAUGAACAGAAGGAAUAAACCUUGUCCUUUACUGUAUUUAGCCUAUGUGUAUGUAUCAGUCUCCAUUAAAGUUACUCUAUUGUCAGGUGUACUAUUCUGUUCUCCUCCUCCCAGAGUUAAGCUCUGUCCUCCACAGCUACAAUACCAGGGGAAGUUGAUAGAGCAAGGACUAAAAUAGGGUGUUAAUGGGGAGAGCUUAAUUUUAGGAUGUGAGAUGGUGACAAAAUCUGAAAUACAAAAUCUGGAUGAGAGCCAUACUGAGCUUGCGGACAGGGAAGGUGCGGGAGCAGGGAGGAAAAACAGCAGGGGGAAGAUGAAAUAGGACCAGGACAAUCUCUGGUUCAGAAAUGGGAGAUCUCAGCCUCACUAAAAAAGCCCAGACUGUUGAGAGAUAGAUUCAUUUUGGGUUUAGAGACAUUUAACCCUUGAUCCCUAUUAUUCCUGUAUACAUUUGCUAGUAAUGGAAACAAACCUGUUUUUUAAGCUAAGAGAUGCUGGCUGGUAUUCAUAAUGCAUAACUCUGCUAUCAAUAUUUAAAACUGUUUCUCCUCCUUUAUCAUAGUCCUAAUGCUUUGAGAACACAGUGACUCAAAUUCUGAGCCACACUGCAGCUCUGAAGGAGCAUGGCGUCCCACAGAAUAAAAAUGAGCUCCAGAUGUUUGGGCUUUUGUCAUAUACUGCAAAAUGCCACCAUGUAAGAAGAC